Molecule: ribosomal RNA, 394 nt
Filed under: uncultured Glomeromycotina
Lineage: Eukaryota; Fungi; Glomeromycota
Description: SSU rRNA
Rfam family: Eukaryotic small subunit ribosomal RNA
Source: RNAcentral
AGCAGCCGCGGUAAUUCCAGCUCCAAUAGCGUAUAUUAAAGUUGUUGCAGUUAAAAAGCUCGUAGUUGAAUUUCGGGAUCAAUUUAUCGGUCGUGCCAAUGGUAUGAACUGGUACAAUUGGUUUCUCCCUUCUGACGAAGCAUGAUGCCAUUAAUUUGGUGUCGUGGGGAAUCAGGACUGUUACUUUGAAAAAUUAGAGUGUUUAAAGCAAGCAUUAGCUUGAAUACAUUAGCAUGGAAUAAUGAAAUAGGACGUUUGAUCCUAUUUCGUUGGUUCUAGGAUCGACGUAAUGAUUAAUAGGGAUAGUUGGGGGCAUUAGUAUUCAAUUGUCAGAGGUGAAAUUCUUGGAUUUAUUGAAGACUAACUACUGCGAAAGCAUUUGCCAAGGAUGUUU